UGGGGAAUUUUGCACAAUGGGCGCAAGCCUGAUGCAGCGACGCCGCGUGAGGGAUGAAGGCCUUCGGGUUGUAAACCUUUUUCGCUCAUGGUCAAGCCGCAGCUUUGGGUUGUGGUGAGGGUAGUGGGUAAAGAAGCGCCGGCUAACUACGUGCCAGCAGCCGCGGUAAUACGUAGGGCGCGAGCGUUGUCCGGAAUUAUUGGGCGUAAAGGGCUUGUAGGCGGUUGGCCGCGUCUGCCGUGAAAUCCUCUGGCUUAACUGGGGGCGUGCGGUGGGUACGGGUUGACUUGAGUGCGGUAGGGGAGACUGGAAUUCCUGGUGUAGCGGUAAAAUGCGUAGAUAUUAGGAGGAACACCGGUGGCGAAGGCGGCUAUCUGGACAGUAACUGACGCUGAGGCGCGAAAGCGUGGGGAGCAAACAGG
RNAcentral lists this ribosomal RNA (422 nucleotides) under Verrucomicrobiota bacterium. Its description in RNAcentral is "Verrucomicrobia bacterium partial 16S ribosomal RNA". It matches the Rfam family "Bacterial small subunit ribosomal RNA", at positions 355 to 776 of the family's 1533-position model. The record is from RNAcentral. Lineage: Bacteria; Pseudomonadati; Verrucomicrobiota.